RNAcentral lists this long non-coding RNA (1777 nucleotides) under Takifugu rubripes (torafugu). RNAcentral's name for it is "lncRNA (ENSTRUG00000027438.1)". The record is from RNAcentral. Lineage: Eukaryota; Metazoa; Chordata; Actinopteri; Tetraodontiformes; Tetraodontidae.
UCUGGGGUUUGUGGACUUCUUUUUGUGCGCUAAAACCCAAAAAAACUGGGCUUUAAAUGUGUGGAUGUUUAAGAAAGCAAAAAACAAAAACACAUUUGAUAAGAAUAUAAGAAAUCCGGGAGGAGAGUGAGAUCAUUUGCUGCUGGCUUGAAAAUAUCGGGGAAAUUUCCUUUGAGAGACGACCUGCGCACGGAGGCAUCUCCCCCUACCAAGGCAUACCAGCAUCAUCACCCAGAGCAUAAAGCCAACAUCUCUCACACCAGUAAUGAGCUAAAGGUGCGUUCACUUUCUCUCUCCCCAACAUGGGCACUGAAUAAAAAAGUGUGUGAAUUAGUCCCGACACAUCAGGUCCCAGCAGACUGUUUUCCAUCCUGUUAAACUGCCUUUUCCUGUUUCUGCCUCAGUGCCACAAGCAAUAAUGAUUUCUGCCUUUCAUAGCUUAAAAAAAACAGUGAUAACUGUUCAGCCUCUAUUUGCCUUCGGGAGGAUGUGAAAGAGGGCUUGUAAAAACUGAUAUGUAAUAUGAUGUAAUUCUUGAGAAUGUGGCUAUCAAAGCAUUUGCCCUCCAGCCACAUGUACCCAAAGUUACCGUAACACUGGUCUUACAUCUCGCAUGCUUCGCAGUUUUUUUCCUCCUUGGAAAAAAAACAUUGAAUACAUUAAAGGCAGAUCUAAUCGAUCCCAAGUGUGCUUAUCAUGGGCUGGCAGGCUGAUGAGCCGAUUUCAGAGCAGCACAUUCUAAUCCUUCAACUGCUGCCUGAAAACUCACGAUUGAGUCGAUAACGGACAAAACAAGGUCUGAAUACGUCGGAAAUAGGCCAGAAAAACUGCGCCAAUCGAUUCAGGUGCCAUACAAUGAAAAAACCCAAUGACAAAUAACAUCAACGGGGACUAAUUCACGUGCAGUUACACCAUUCGCGAGCUCGUGAUUUGAGCGUGCCACCCAAUCAAUCACUCAAUCCAAUUAUCUAUGGGCCCAGGACGAAUCCUGGGAAUGAAUCUCUGUCCAAGUUUUAGCAAUGAUCUCCACUCUGCCGUUAAUAUCAGCUUUUUGGACAACACUGACGAGAAUGACAAAUUCAGAGGCAGUGAGUGAGCGUGAAUAAUCAGUUAUCUGAGGCUUAAUGUCACCCUCCAAACAUAUGUCACUCUAGCAUAAAUAAAGACGUUUAAAGUCUUCCUCCAUGUCUGUUUCUACCUGGAUUAAACAUCAAGACUGCCUAUAAACGUGUCCUCUAUUGACAUCUAUUGAUUCAGCUGGUGACUUAUUUAAUUCUGGGUUUCAAAGGGGUUUAGCAACGCUGCGUGCUGAUUGGGUGUUUAACCUUUUGGCCUCCAAACUGAGAUCUGAGCACAUAUCCCAUAAUGGGACACAUUCAUCCAGAUGACCUCUCCUGUCACCAUGACAGCUCAGCAGCAGGCAAGCCGACAAAGAGAUCCGAUGUGUGCAUCUCGCCUUUGUAGAAAAAAGAGAGACGAAACAAAAGUGCUUAUCUGAACUUGUCUCAGGUCACAUCACUCCUCCUCCUCUCCCAUUUGCCUUUCAAUGCUUUUUUUCCUGCCAAAUGAAAGCAGCAUAUUUAUGGCCUUGUCUAUGGCGACGGGGGAGCCUAUGUGUGCUUUCCUGUUAUUUUAGUCUUUAGCGGGUUUCACACAGAGAUAGCGGGAGAACAUUGGGGCCAGCGUCCAUUCUUCUUCUUUGUUUAUUGUGCUUUCAUGAUUUAAGGAGAUAUUACCCUCCAUUUCAGUGUACAGGCAGCACGGCCACAAAGCUUCA